Molecule: long non-coding RNA, 812 nt
Filed under: Anas platyrhynchos platyrhynchos (common mallard)
Lineage: Eukaryota; Metazoa; Chordata; Aves; Anseriformes; Anatidae
Description: lncRNA (ENSAPLG00000016700.1)
Source: RNAcentral
AUGUUCUGCUCCUCACAUGAAAAAAAAAAAAGAAAGAAAAAGAAAAAAGAAAAAAAAAAAAGUGUUUGUUUAAUCUUUAGCUUUGGUUUGCAAAUUAGAAGUCACAAAGAAAACUACAUUUUUUAUUUUGUGUGUGUGUGUGUGUGUGGAACUUACCUGGCAGAGAAGUGCAAGAGUACAUAUCAUAAAUUUUCUUGCUGGAAAUAUGUGGGUGUAAAGGUUAAUGGCAUGCAGCAGCACUCUGAGUUCUGGGAAGAAAGGUCUGAGACUCAGCUCGCUGCAAUUCAGAGCAGCUGUGGGCCGUAUGGCCCAGGUCAGGGCUCAGAAGGCAAAUCGGCUCGGCACUGACAGGAGCAGUAUGCGAAGAGUUCAUCACUCGCUACGUGUUUUCUCCUCUUCCGUUAUUCAGUACUUGAUGUCUAAAAAGCAGUGAGAUGCAACUGACUUUCCUGCUAAUUUCAGACAAAGUAGUGUGUGAAAAGAACUUGUGGUCAUCAUCUGCCCCAUCUUCUGCUUCAAGGAAAACUCUUCUGAUACUAAAUGAGACCAGCAAUGGCUUUGUCUAGGCCAGUCUGGAAAGCCUCUGAAGAUGAAGGUCCCGUUGCCUCUCAGUAGUAACUGCGAGGUAACACAACUAGGAAGAGGAGCUGACCAUUGGCUUUCCUUUUUCACAAGUUUACUGCUUGGUAGGACUGCAAACUUCAAAAGUGAGACUUGAGUAAACUGUCUUUCAAAUCAUGGAGCCAAUUUUGCAGCAGUUAACCUUGUUGAUGCAAAAUAAAUAACGCUGUAGCGUGUUGUGUGGUUUUUGU